This 408-nucleotide ribosomal RNA is filed under the name uncultured bacterium. Its description in RNAcentral is "partial 16S ribosomal RNA". It matches the Rfam family "Bacterial small subunit ribosomal RNA", at positions 966 to 1360 of the family's 1533-position model. The record is from RNAcentral.
CCUUUACCCGGGUUUUUAAAAUUUUUUUGGUAACCCUAAGGAGAUUUGGGGGUUUCCCUUUGGGGGGAGGAAAUUACCGGGGGGGUCCAAGGGUGUUGUUCAAGCUCGGGUUCGUGAAAUUGUUGGGUAAAGUCCCGAAACGAGCGAACCCCUUAUUUUCAGUUUGCCAGCAUUAAGUUGGGCACUCUGGCAAGACUGCCGGUGACAAACCGGAGGAAGGUGGGGAUGACGUCAAAUCAUCAUGCCCCUUAUGACCUGGGCUACACACGUGCUACAAUGGACGGUACAACGAGUCGCGAAACCGCGAGGUCAAGCUAAUCUCUUAAAGCCGUUCUCAGUUCGGAUUGUAGGCUGCAACUCGCCUACAUGAAGUUGGAAUCGCUAGUUAAUCGGGAAUCAGCAUGCCAC